GACGAACGCUGGCGGCGUGCUUAACACAUGCAAGUCGAACGGAAAGGCCCUGCUUUUGUGGGGUGCUCGAGUGGCGAACGGGUGAGUAACACGUGAGUAACCUGCCCUUGACUUUGGGAUAACUUCAGGAAACUGGGACUAAUACCGGAUAGGAGCUCCUGCUGCAUGGUGGGGGUUGGAAAGUUUCGGCGGUUGGGGAUGGACUCGCGGCUUAUCAGCUUGUUGGUGGGGUAGUGGCUUACCAAGGCUUUGACGGGUAGCCGGCCUGAGAGGGUGUCCGGCCACAUUGGGACUGAGAUACGGCCCAGACUCCUACGGGAGGCAGCAGUGGGGAAUAUUGCACAAUGGGCGGAAGCCUGAUGCAGCAACGCCGCGUGCGGGAUGACGGCCUUCGGGUUGUAAACCGCUUUCGCCUGUGACGAAGCGUGAGUGACGGUAAUGGGUAAAGAAGCACCGGCUAACUACGUG
RNAcentral lists this ribosomal RNA (468 nucleotides) under uncultured bacterium. RNAcentral describes it as "partial 16S ribosomal RNA". It matches the Rfam family "Bacterial small subunit ribosomal RNA", at positions 28 to 507 of the family's 1533-position model. The record is from RNAcentral.